AGAGUUUGAUCCUGGCUCAGGAUGAACGCUAGCGGCAGGCCUAACACAUGCAAGUCGAGGGGUAACAGAAAAAAGCUUGCUUUUUUGCUGACGACCGGCGAACGGGUGCGUAACACGUAUGUAACCUACCUAUAACUGGCGAAUAGCCUACUGAAAAGUGGAUUAAUACGCCAUAACAUAUAUUUAAGGCAUCUUUUAUAUAUUAAAGCUUUGGCGGUUAUAGACGGACAUGCGCAACAUUAGCUUGUUGGUGAGGUAAUAGCUCACCAAGGCAACGAUGUUUAGGGGGUCUUAGAGGAUGAUCCCCCACACUGGUACUGAGACACGGACCAGACUCCUACGGGAGGCAGCAGUGAGGAAUAUUGCGCAAUGGAGGAAACUCUGACGCAGCCAUGCCGCGUGCAGGAAGACAGUCUUAUGGAUUGUAAACUGCUUUUGUAUGCCAAGAAACCUUAGUACGUGUACUAAGCUGACGGUAGCAUACGAAUAAGGAUCGGCUAACUCCGUGCCAGCAGCCGCGGUAAUACGGAGGAUCCAAGCGUUAUCCGGAUUUAUUGGGUUUAAAGGGUCCGCAGGCGGAAAAUUAAGUCAGUGGUGAAAUCCUACAGCUUAACUGUAGAACUGCCAUUGAUACUGGUUUUCUUGAGUACAAAUGAGGUGAGUGGAAUGUGGCGUGUAGCGGUGAAAUGCAUAGAUAUGCCACAGAACACCAAUUGCGAAGGCAGCUCACUAAAAUGUAACUGACGCUGAGGGACGAAAGCGUGGGGAGCGAACGGGAUUAGAUACCCCGGUAGUCCACGCCGUAAACGAUGAUCACUCGAUGUUGGCGAUAUACUGUCAGUGUCUGAGCGAAAGCAUUAAGUGAUCCACCUGGGGAGUACGAUCGCAAGAUUGAAACUCAAAGGAAUUGACGGGGGCCGCACAAGCGGUGGAGCAUGUGGUUUAAUUCGAUGAUACGCGAGAACCUUACCUAGGCUUAAAUGUAGAUUGACGUAUGGGAAACCAGUAUUUCUUCGGACAUUUACAGUGCUGCAUGUGUCGUCAGCUCGUGCGUGGAGGUGUCGAUAAGUCCAAUACGAGCGCACCCUAUCAUAGUUGCUACUAGUUGAGGACUCUUAUGAAACUGCCCGGUAACGUGAGAUGUGGGAGUUACCGUCAAAUCUACGGCCCUUUAACGCCGCUUAG
Molecule: ribosomal RNA, 1185 nt
Filed under: uncultured bacterium
Lineage: Bacteria
Description: bacterial SSU rRNA
Rfam family: Bacterial small subunit ribosomal RNA
Source: RNAcentral